GACGAACGCUGGCGGCGUGCUUAACACAUGCAAGUCGAACGGAAAGGCCCUGCUUUUGUGGGUUGCUCGAGUGGCGAACGGGUGAGUAACACGUGAGUAACCUGCCCUUGACUUUGGGAUAACUUCAGGAAACUGGGGCUAAUACCGGAUAGGAGCUCCUGCUGCAUGGUGGGGGUUGGAAAGUUUCGGCGGUUGGGGAUGGACUCGCGGCUUAUCAGCUUGUUGGUGGGGUAGUGGCUUACCAAGGCUUUGACGGGUAGCCGGCCUGAGAGGGUGACCGGCCACCUUGGGACUGAGAUACGGCCCAGACUCCUACGGGAGGCAGCAGUGGGGAAUAUUGCACAAUGGGCGGAAGCCUGAUGCAGCAACGCCGCGUGCGGGAUGACGGCCUUCGGGUUGUAACCCGCUUUCGCCUGUGACGAAGCGUGAGUGACGGUAAUGGGUAAAGAAGCACCGGCUAACUACGUG
This 468-nucleotide ribosomal RNA is filed under the name uncultured bacterium. RNAcentral's name for it is "partial 16S ribosomal RNA". It matches the Rfam family "Bacterial small subunit ribosomal RNA", at positions 28 to 507 of the family's 1533-position model. The record is from RNAcentral.